RNAcentral lists this long non-coding RNA (273 nucleotides) under Anser brachyrhynchus (Pink-footed goose). RNAcentral's name for it is "lncRNA (ENSABRG00000001587.1)". The record is from RNAcentral. Lineage: Eukaryota; Metazoa; Chordata; Aves; Anseriformes; Anatidae.
CUCUUCGCUCCUAAAGCAUGUUCAACUCCUGCCUUGCUGUACUGUCCUCAACAGUUUUGUACCACACAGGCUUGAUUUCUCUACUUGAAAGUGCUGACUCCAUCUGUGUCACCACGGGGAAGAGGACGAGCAGAAACCAGACUGGCCCCAUCGAACAUCAAACACUUGACCAAGGUUGCAUAUUGGAGCUCAGUGUCCCAAAGCACUGCCUUUCGGUCAUGAGGAUCUGUGAGCUGCAAGCACCCACCCACCCUCCUGCUUCAAGGAGAGAGC